Nomascus leucogenys (northern white-cheeked gibbon) is the source of this 46-nucleotide non-coding RNA. Lineage: Eukaryota; Metazoa; Chordata; Mammalia; Primates; Hylobatidae. The record is from Rfam.
UCAAAGGUUUUUUUAAAAUCCACUUAAAUUAUUAGGAUGAAUUUCU